CCAGACUAGAGUGAUUCGGCACAUCUUGUGGUCUGGCAUCUGGCUUUGCCUGCCCACUGCCCUCCCCUUUUGCUCUCACAAGUUCCUGAUCAGGAAAGUUCCUGUACAUGUGUGCUCUACCGAGGGGAUUUCCGUAGCUCCUUCCUGUGAAUGCAGAUAUCUAGCAAUGGAACUGAGACAGAAGCACUGCUUAACUGGCACAGAAAUAGCAGGCCCAGAAAUCCCAAAUGGACUGCCCUCUCCUUGUGCAGGCCUUCCCUCGACAGAAACAGGAAGGUUCUCUGUUGUGCAACUCUUCUGGCAUUCUUCAGUCUGGGGCGAUUCACGGAUUUAAAAAUUGAUGUUUGCGAGCUGCUGCUAUCAUUGUUUCCUACAAGGUAAUCUUCUCCAGGCAAUGCAUGCUGCAUAUUCCACCCCAGGGUAAGCAGAGAGGGCCAUAUACCCUCAGACUUGUUUUGAGAAAGUGAGACUGAAGCUAAUUCCUCGGACCGAUGUGCUGAAAGGCAGUAAAGCAGAAGCCUUACAGGGCGAGGUCUAGGUGAAAGACGAAGCAGAGGCUUGACUGUCCUUGUGGAGACAUUGAUUAAGAUGCUCCAGGCUUGUUUGCACAAGGAAUUUAACCACAAUAACUAUUGCGCUAUGCUAUAUUCUGGAAUGGGUCAAUUUACUCUCAAAUCACGCAAAUGAAGCAAAGGACAGUUUCACAGAAUCACAGAAUGGCCAAGGUUGGAAGGGACCUCUGGAGAUCAUCUAGUGCAACCCCCCUGCUCAAGCAGGGUCAUAUUGAGCACAUUGCACAGGAUCGCGUCCAGGCAGGCUUUGAAUAUCUCCAGAGAAGCAGACUCAGUGUCUUACUCUGGAACUGAGAAGCCAUACAAGCCUUUCUCACAAGAAGCUGUAGAGGAGGAGGCAUUGUAGGACAGCUGUUCCCAUCACUUUCUCUACGUAGCAGAGCCUUUGUAUCCUUUCCUGAAGAAACAGAUAAAGUCUCUCAUGUUAUAUGUCAUAGUGAAGGGCCUAUGCAUCAGCAAUCCCAGGAGCAGUGGCUUUGUUCUGGAAAUAUUGAUAUCCUCAGAGGCUGGAGCCUCCCUAACAGUCCUCCCAAUGCCAAGCAAUUGAAGCAAACUUUCUCUUCAAGCAGUUUGCAAAUGUGAAAAAAAAUCAAAAGGAACCAUAGAGAGUUUUGGGGUGUGGCCAGCGUAUGACCCCUUUUGACAUUUAGGGUGGAUAAGCCAAUAUACCCUCUUUCUGGCUUUUCUUUUUUACCAAAUCAAAAAAGAUGGCAUGCAACUGCUGUCACUGCUUUGCAUAAAUCAAAAGAUCCAGCUUUGUGUAUCUUACUUGGUUAUUUCCUAUAAAAAGCACAUCUGUGGCCAUACCU
Molecule: long non-coding RNA, 1381 nt
Filed under: Struthio camelus australis
Lineage: Eukaryota; Metazoa; Chordata; Aves; Struthioniformes; Struthionidae
Description: lncRNA (ENSSCUG00000013443.1)
Source: RNAcentral